AGUGAACGCUGGCGGCAGGCCUAACACAUGCAAGUCGAACGGCAGCACGGCAGUAGCAAUACUGUGGGUGGCGAGUGGCGGACGGGUGAGGAAUACAUCGGGAUCUACCCUGUUGUGGGGGAUAACGUAGGGAAACUUACGCUAAUACCGCAUAAGAACUGAGGUUGAAAGCGGCGGACCGCAAGGCGUCGCGCGAUUGGAUGAACCGAUGUCCGAUUAGCUAGUUGGCGGGGUAAAGGCCCACCAAGGCGACGAUCGGUAGCUGGUCUGAGAGGACGACCAGCCACACUGGAACUGAGACACGGUCCAGACUCCUACGGGAGGCAGCAGUGGGGAAUAUUGGACAAUGGGCGCAAGCCUGAUCCAGCCAUGCCGCGUGGGUGAAGAAGGCCUGGUGUAAGCCUUGUCCGGAAGAAAAGACAUUCGGUUAAUACCGGUAGUUCUGACGGUACCGGAACGGAAUAAGACACCGGCUAAC
RNAcentral lists this ribosomal RNA (478 nucleotides) under uncultured bacterium. RNAcentral describes it as "bacterial SSU rRNA". It matches the Rfam family "Bacterial small subunit ribosomal RNA", at positions 29 to 501 of the family's 1533-position model. The record is from RNAcentral.